CGCAGCUCUAGGCUGCCCUYGCUCGCGCAGCCGCAGUUCCGCCGGCACUGCGGGGCGUAGAGAGCGUCGCUUAACUGCUGCGGGAUGCUUCUCAGCACUUUUCUGCACCUAGGUGCAUUCCCUUCGGUCGCUCCGAGCCUCGCUGCUGUGCGCCUCUCUUGCAGACAGAUGACAGCUCUUCCUUGGACGUUUUCACUGGUUCUGCAACACCCAGUGUCCCCUUCUCUCCGCACUCCCCGGUGGGCGCCCAGUGUCCAGGGGGAGGAUGUCCCUGGAUGA
Molecule: long non-coding RNA, 279 nt
Organism: Urocitellus parryii (Arctic ground squirrel)
Lineage: Eukaryota; Metazoa; Chordata; Mammalia; Rodentia; Sciuridae
Source: Ensembl